AACGAACGCUGGCGGCGCGUCUUAAGCAUGCAAGUCGGGCGGCAGCCCAGCGCCUAAUUAUUUUUUUUCGCAGUGGGGGCGAGGGGGGAUAAUUAGGCGCUGGGCGAGAGCGGCGGACUGGUGAGUAACGCGUGGGCGACCUGCCCUGGGGAUGGGGACAGCCGCUGGAAACAGCGGGUAAUACCGAAUACGCUUGGACGGCCGGAGCCGUUUAAGGAAAGGGGCUACGGCCCCGCCCGAGGAUGGGCCCGCGUCCCAUUAGCUUGUCGGCAGGGUAACGGCCUACCGAGGCGAAGAUGGGUAGCCGGCCUGAGAGGGCGAACGGCCACACUGGGACUGAGAUACGGCCCAGACUCCUACGGGAGGCAGCAGCUAAGAAUAUUCCGCAAUGGGCGGAAGCCUGACGGAGCGACGCCGCGUGCAUGACGAAGGCCGGAAGGUUGUAAAGUGCUUUUGCGGGCGAAGAAUAAGGCGCGGAGGGAAUGCCGCGCCGGUGACGCCGGCCCGCGAAUAAGCCCCGGCUAAUUACGUGCCAGCAGCCGCGGUAACACGUAAGGGGCGAGCGUUGUUCGGAAUUAUUGGGCGUAAAGGGCGCGUAGGCGGUUAAUCAAGUCCGGUGUGAAAUGCCGGGGCUCAACCCCGGAGCUGCAUUGGAAACUGGUAAACUUGAGUCACGGAGGGGGAGCUGGAAUUCCUGGUGUAGGGGUGAAAUCUGUAGAUAUCAGGAAGAACACCGGUGGCGAAGGCGAGCUUCCAGCCGGUGACUGACGCUGAGGCGCGAAAGCGCGGGGAGCGAACAGGAUUAGAUACCCUGGUAGUCCGCGCCGUAAACGAUGUGCACUAGGUGUCUGGCCGAGCGGCUAGGUGCCGGAGCGAACGCGAUAAGUGCACCGCCUGGGGAGUAUGCCCGCAAGGGUGAAACUCAAAGGAAUUGACGGGGGCCCGCACAAGCGGUGGAGCAUGUGGUUUAAUUCGAUGGUACGCGAGGAACCUUACCUGGGUUUGACAUGCAGGGGGAGGGCGCGGAGACGCGCCCGCGCGGCAACGCGCCCCUGUGCAGGUGCUGCAUGGCUGUCGUCAGCUCGUGCCGUGAGGUGUUGGGUUAAGUCCCGCAACGAGCGCAACCCCUACCGCCAGUUGCCAGCAGGAGAGCUGGGGACUCUGGCGGAACUGCCGGCGACAAGCCGGAGGAAGGCGGGGAUGACGUCAAGUCAUCAUGGCCCUUAUGUCCAGGGCUACACACGUGCUACAAUGGGCGGCACAAAGCGAGGCGAGCCUGAGAGGGCGGAGCGAAGCGCAGAAAGCCGCCCGUAGUUCGGAUUGAAGUCUGAAACCCGACUUCAUGAAGCUGGAAUCGCUAGUAAUCGCGCAUCAGCAUGGCGCGGUGAAUACGUUCCCGGGC
RNAcentral lists this ribosomal RNA (1402 nucleotides) under uncultured Treponema sp. RNAcentral describes it as "bacterial SSU rRNA". It matches the Rfam family "Bacterial small subunit ribosomal RNA", at positions 28 to 1379 of the family's 1533-position model. Lineage: Bacteria; Pseudomonadati; Spirochaetota; Spirochaetia; Treponematales; Treponemataceae. The record is from RNAcentral.